This is a long non-coding RNA of Sitodiplosis mosellana (orange wheat blossom midge), 1284 nucleotides long. RefSeq lists it as uncharacterized. The record is from RefSeq and is a predicted model, not a curated record. NCBI's taxonomy places the organism in Eukaryota, Metazoa, Arthropoda, Insecta, Diptera, Cecidomyiidae. The transcript has 3 exons.
CAGCUUAUGAUCGAGUUUUGGCAGAGUCAGCUGCUCAACGACAACGACAACCACAAACGAAAUAUACAGCCAAUGGAGUCUAUCCAACAAAAACGCACUGUGUGUGUUUUUUAUAAAUAAAAUGUUUCUCUGAGUUAGGAUUGAACGGUGAUAUAUUUUUUGUUGUUGCUGUUGUUGUUGUUGUUGUUGAGCAGAUGUUGAAUUACCAAAAAUAGCACUUGAUGAGCACACCGUAUCCCGUGAGAGAAAGCAAGACAGCGAAACAAAAAACCAUGAACAAAAUAAUCAGUUGGAUUAAUCGAACGUUCAGUGAUUGUUUGGGGCGUCGUUGUUCCGGUCAUGAGCCACUUAAAGAAUUCGAUGGUCAGGAUAUGACGGACGUGAUGGAAUUGAAGCGAAUCAAAUUAUUUAAAAAUGCGUCAAUCAUUCAAACUGCGCCGAUAUUUGGUCUCAACGAUGACUGUGUUCUGCAAAUACUUUCCCAUUUAUCAUUGUAUGAUUUGGCAUCGGUAUCGUUGACGUGUCGUCAUUUUCAAGAUUUGGCCAAGCAUAAAUUUGCCCAACAAAAUAAAAGUAAGCAUCUCGCAUUUUCCGAUGCAAUUGUAUUUGGCUAUGAUGAGGUCAAAGCCGAAGAACGUCUCACACGUGCUUUAGAUAUUAUGAAAGCAUUUGGCCGUUUAAUCGACACAAUCAUCGUGUUGGACAUCAUUUAUUUUCGUAUUUUACCCGUUUUACAAGCCGAAAUGGACUUACAAGCUUGAACAGCAAGCAAUCAUUUCUGAUACACUGUCAGCGGUUCGUUGUUGAAGAAGAACAAAAAGCUUGAUCUAAAGUAUCCUACAUACGAUUCAAUGUGAGUGGAAAACACUACCAAAAAUCAUUUUGACCAACUUUCAACAAUCUCAAUAAACGGCCACUAAAACUCGAACUUGUGCCAUUCUGCGGAAAUAUUCAAUACACAGUUUUUUUUUCUUUGUUUUUAGUCAUAAGAUAUUUAUUUUUAUUUAAAAUUUACAGUAUAUUUAGUACACGAAUUGUAAGAAUUUCGAAUGAGGCGAUGCCAUUUCGAAUGAUUGGAUUUCCGGCCGUCAAGUGUUUUCAUCCAAUCAUCGUGGUGAAUCGUUUUAAUCUUAAUUGUGUUAUUAUAUAUUGCAAUUACAUAAAUCGUGCAGCGGAAUCAUUCGAAAUGGCAACUGUUCAUUCAACUAGUUUGUAAGAGACAAAAUGAAAAUCUGUAUACGAUAUUAAUUUUUAUUGAUAAAUAAAGAUGUUUUUUUUGCUUCA